This 481-nucleotide ribosomal RNA is filed under the name Bacillus amyloliquefaciens. RNAcentral's name for it is "bacterial SSU rRNA". It matches the Rfam family "Bacterial small subunit ribosomal RNA", at positions 16 to 479 of the family's 1533-position model. Lineage: Bacteria; Bacillati; Bacillota; Bacilli; Caryophanales; Bacillaceae. The record is from RNAcentral.
AUCCUGGCUCAGGACGAACGCUGGCGGCGUGCCUAAUACAUGCAAGUCGAGCGGACAGAUGGGAGCUUGCUCCCUGAUGUUAGCGGCGGACGGGUGAGUAACACGUGGGUAACCUGCCUGUAAGACUGGGAUAACUCCGGGAAACCGGGGCUAAUACCGGAUGGUUGUUUGAACCGCAUGGUUCAGACAUAAAAGGUGGCUUCGGCUACCACUUACAGAUGGACCCGCGGCGCAUUAGCUAGUUGGUGAGGUAACGGCUCACCAAGGCAACGAUGCGUAGCCGACCUGAGAGGGUGAUCGGCCACACUGGGACUGAGACACGGCCCAGACUCCUACGGGAGGCAGCAGUAGGGAAUCUUCCGCAAUGGACGAAAGUCUGACGGAGCAACGCCGCGUGAGUGAUGAAGGUUUUCGGAUCGUAAAGCUCUGUUGUUAGGGAAGAACAAGUGCCGUUCAAAUAGGGCGGCACCUUGACGGUACC